GAUGAACGCUAGCUACAGGCUUAACACAUGCAAGUCGAGGGGAAACGACAUCGAAAGCUUGCUUUUGAUGGGCGUCGACCGGCGCACGGGUGAGUAACGCGUAUCCAACCUGCCCAUCACUUGGGGAUAACCUUGCGAAAGUAAGACUAAUACCCAAUGAUAUCUCUAGAAGACAUCUGAAAGAGAUUAAAGAUUUAUCGGUGAUGGAUGGGGAUGCGUCUGAUUAGCUUGUUGGCGGGGUAACGGCCCACCAAGGCAACGAUCAGUAGGGGUUCUGAGGGGAAGGUCCCCCACAUUGGAACUGAGACACGGUCCAAACUCCUACGGGAGGCAGCAGUGAGGAAUAUUGGUCAAUGGGCGAGAGCCUGAACCAGCCAAGUAGCGUGCAGGAAGACGGCCCUAUGGGUUGUAAACUGCUUUUAUAAGGGAAUAAAGUGAGAGUCGUGACUCUUUUUGUAUGUACCUUAUGAAUAAGGACCGGCUAAUUCCGUG
RNAcentral lists this ribosomal RNA (492 nucleotides) under uncultured bacterium. Its description in RNAcentral is "partial 16S ribosomal RNA". It matches the Rfam family "Bacterial small subunit ribosomal RNA", at positions 28 to 507 of the family's 1533-position model. The record is from RNAcentral.